Molecule: transfer RNA, 71 nt
Filed under: Bacteroidota bacterium
Lineage: Bacteria; Pseudomonadati; Bacteroidota
Description: Bacteroidetes bacterium (hot springs metagenome) tRNA-Cys
Rfam family: tRNA
About the family: Transfer RNA (tRNA) molecules are approximately 80 nucleotides in length. Their secondary structure includes four short double-helical elements and three loops (D, anti-codon, and T loops). Further hydrogen bonds mediate the characteristic L-shaped molecular structure. tRNAs have two regions of fundamental functional importance: the anti-codon, which is responsible for specific mRNA codon recognition, and the 3' end, to which the tRNAs corresponding amino acid is attached (by aminoacyl-tRNA synthetases). tRNAs cope with the degeneracy of the genetic code in two manners: having more than one tRNA (with a specific anti-codon) for a particular amino acid; and 'wobble' base-pairing, i.e. permitting non-standard base-pairing at the 3rd anti-codon position.
Source: RNAcentral
GGUAUCUUGGCCGAGGGGUUAGGCAGCGGUCUGCAAAACCGCGUACGGCGGUUCAAAUCCGCCAGAUACCU